Molecule: ribosomal RNA, 302 nt
Filed under: uncultured bacterium
Lineage: Bacteria
Description: partial 16S ribosomal RNA
Rfam family: Bacterial small subunit ribosomal RNA
Source: RNAcentral
GCAGUAGCCGCGGUAAUACGAAGGGGGUUAGCGUUGCUCGGAAUUACUGGGCGUAAGGGGAGCGUAGGCGGAUCGUUAAGUUGGGGGUGAAAGCCCGGGGCUCAACCUCGGAAUUGCCUUCAAUACUGGCGAUCUUGAGUAUGGAAGAGGUAUGUGGAACUCCGAGUGUAGAGGUGAAAUUCAUAGAUAUUCGGAAGAACACCAGUGGCGAAGGCGACAUACUGGUCCAUUACUGACGCUGAGGCUCGAAAGCGUGGGGAGCAAACAGGAUUAGAUACCCCAGUAGUCCCUGUCUCUUAUAC